Molecule: ribosomal RNA, 439 nt
Filed under: uncultured bacterium
Lineage: Bacteria
Description: partial 16S ribosomal RNA
Rfam family: Bacterial small subunit ribosomal RNA
Source: RNAcentral
CUACGGGCCGCUGCAGUGAGGAAUAUUGCACAAUGGGGGGAACCCUGAUGCAGCAACGCCGCGUGAAGGAUGACGCAUUUCGGUGCGUAAACUCCUUUUAUAUGUCAAGAAAAUGACGGUAGCAUAUGAAUAAGCACCGGCUAACUCCGUGCCAGCAGCCGCGGUAAUACGGAGGGUGCAAGCGUUACUCGGAAUCACUGGGCGUAAAGGACGCGUAGGCGGGUUGGAAAGUCAGGUGUGAAAUCCUACAGCUUAACUGUAGAACUGCACUUGAAACUUCUAAUCUAGAGUAUGGGAGGGGGAGAUGGAAUUAGUGGUGUAGGGGUAAUAUCCGUAGAUAUCACUAGGAAUACCUAAAGCGAAGGCGAUCUCCUGGAACAUUACUGACGCUAAGGCGUGAAAGCGUGGGGAGCAAACAGGAUUAGAUACCCGAGUAGUC